UAGUGUUCAUCAUGGCGAGCAGCCGGCACCAGGAGAAAUGGAGCCCCUGCCAGUGAGGCGUAGCAGUGCAGGCGGGGAGACCCUGAAGGAGACAGCAGCGGCUUAAAUUGAUGCCUGCACCUUGAAUACCAGAGGCUUAGGAGGAAGCUCUCCA
Molecule: long non-coding RNA, 154 nt
Filed under: Jaculus jaculus (lesser Egyptian jerboa)
Lineage: Eukaryota; Metazoa; Chordata; Mammalia; Rodentia; Dipodidae
Description: Nuclear enriched abundant transcript 1 conserved region 3 (ENSJJAG00000008589.1)
Rfam family: Nuclear enriched abundant transcript 1 conserved region 3
Source: RNAcentral